This 391-nucleotide unclassified non-coding RNA is filed under the name soil metagenome. RNAcentral describes it as "partial contains 5.8S ribosomal RNA, internal transcribed spacer 2, and large subunit ribosomal RNA". The stretch from base 1 to 122 matches the Rfam family "5.8S ribosomal RNA", at positions 35 to 154 of the family's 154-position model. The record is from RNAcentral.
GAUGAAGAACGUAGCGAAAUGCGAUACUUGGUGUGAAUUGCAGAAUCCCGUGAACCAUCGAGUCUUUGAACGCAAGUUGCGCCCGAAGCCAUUAGGCCGAGGGCACGCCUGCCUGGGCGUCACACGUCGUUGCCCCCCCAUCUACUCCUUCGGGAUUGCGGGGGGCAGAUGAUGGCCUCCCGUGCGCCUCGUCGCGCGGUUGGCAUAAAUGCCAAGUCCUCGGCGACACACGCCACGACAAUCGGUGGUUGCGAAACCUCGGUUGCCCGUCGUGUGCGGUCGUCGCGCAUCGAGGGCUCGAAAAAAUUGCCGGGCUCCGGCUCGGCUUUCAACGCGACCCCAGGUCAGGCGGGGUUACCCGCUGAAUUUAAGCAUAUCAAUAAGCGGAGGA